This is a small nucleolar RNA of Ornithorhynchus anatinus (platypus), 138 nucleotides long. The record is from RefSeq and is a predicted model, not a curated record. Lineage: Eukaryota; Metazoa; Chordata; Mammalia; Monotremata; Ornithorhynchidae.
CCCCUCUCAAUGUCGCGUCUGGAGAGUUUCCAGUAAUCUACCAGUCUUGAUUAUGGGAGGAAGAGUCAAGCAGAGGCCUGUCCAUUCCAUUCCUAGCUUGGCCAGUGGCUAGUGAGUGGAAGGCCAUCUGCUACAAGG